CCUACGGGUGGCAGCAGUGGGGGAUAUUGCACAAUGGAGGAAACUCUGAUGCAGCGACGCCGCGUGAGGGAAGACGGUCUUCGGAUUGUAAACCUCUGUCAUCGGGGAAGAAAAUGAAGGUACCCAAAGAGGAAGCUCCGGCUAACUACGUGCAAGCAGCCGCGGUAUUACGGGGGGAGCGAGCGUUGGCCGGAAUUACGGGGUGAAAGGGUAGCGUAGGCGGGCGUGAAGGAUGAAUGUUAAACCUACCGGCUUAACUGGUAGCUGCGUUCAAAACUUCUUGUCUGGAGUGAAGGAGAGGCAGGCGGAAUUCCUAGUGUAGCGGUGAAAUGCGUAGAUAUUAGGAGGAACACCAGUGGCGAAGGCGGCCUGCUGGGCUUUAACUGACGCUGAGGCUCGAAAGCGUGGGGAGCAAACAGGAUUAGAUACCCUAGUAGUC
Molecule: ribosomal RNA, 439 nt
Filed under: uncultured bacterium
Lineage: Bacteria
Description: partial 16S ribosomal RNA
Rfam family: Bacterial small subunit ribosomal RNA
Source: RNAcentral